This 520-nucleotide ribosomal RNA is filed under the name uncultured Glomus. Its description in RNAcentral is "SSU rRNA". It matches the Rfam family "Eukaryotic small subunit ribosomal RNA", at positions 569 to 1091 of the family's 1831-position model. The record is from RNAcentral. Lineage: Eukaryota; Fungi; Glomeromycota; Glomeromycetes; Glomerales; Glomeraceae.
AGCAGCCGCGGUAAUUCCAGCUCCAAUAGCGUAUAUUAAAGUUGUUGCAGUUAAAAGCUCGUAGUUGAAUUUCGGGGUUAGUAGGUUGGUCAUGCCUCUGGUAUGUACUGGUCUCACUGAUUCCUCCUUCCUGAUGAGCCGUAAUGCCAUUAAUUUGGUGUUGCGGGGAAUUUGGACUGUUACUUUGAAAAAAUUAGAGUGUUUAAAGCAAGCUAACACUUGAAUACAUUAGCAUGGAAUAAUGAAAUAGGACGUUUGAUUCUAUUUUGUUGGUUUCUAGGAUCGACGUAAUGAUUAAUAGGGAUAGUUGGGGGCAUUAGUAUUCAAUUGUCAGAGGUGAAAUUCUUGGAUUUAUUGAAGACUAACUACUGCGAAAGCAUUUGCCAAGGAUGUUUUCAUUAAUCAAGAACAAAAGUUAGGGGAUCGAAGACGAUCAGAUACCGUCGUAGUCUUAACCAUAAACUAUGCCGACUAGGGAUCGGAUGAUGUUAAUUUUUUAAUGACUCACUCGGCGCCUUAC